GACGAACGCUGGCGGCGUGCUUAACACAUGCAAGUCGAACGGAAAGGCCCCUUUGGGGGUACUCGAGUGGCGAACGGGUGAGUAACACGUGAGUAACCUGCCCUUGACUUCGGGAUAACUUCAGGAAACUGGGGCUAAUACCGGAUAGGAAUCCUUGCUGCAUGGUGGGGGUUGGAAAGCUUCGGCGGUUUUGGAUGGACUCGCGGCUUAUCAGCUUGUUGGUGGGGUAGUGGCUUACCAAGGCUUUGACGGGUAGCCGGCCUGAGAGGGCGACCGGCCACAUUGGGACUGAGAUACGGCCCAGACUCCUACGGGAGGCAGCAGUGGGGAAUAUUGCACAAUGGGCGGAAGCCUGAUGCAGCAACGCCGCGUGCGGGAUGACGGCCUUGGGUUGUAAACCGCUUUCAGCAGGGGCGAAGCUUGUGGUGACGGUACCUGCAGAAGAAGCACCGGCUAACUACGUG
This 464-nucleotide ribosomal RNA is filed under the name uncultured bacterium. RNAcentral describes it as "partial 16S ribosomal RNA". It matches the Rfam family "Bacterial small subunit ribosomal RNA", at positions 28 to 507 of the family's 1533-position model. The record is from RNAcentral.